UGGGGAAUCUUCCGCAAUGGACGAAAGUCUGACGGAGCAACGCCGCGUGAGUGAUGACGGUCUUCGGAUUGUAAAGCUCUGUUAAUCGGGACGAAGGGUUCAUGUGCAAAUAGUGCAUAGACAUGAGGGUACCGGAAUAGAAAGCCACGGCUAACUACGUGCCAGCAGCCGCGGUAAUACGUAGGUGGCAAGCGUUGUCCGGAAUUAUUGGGCGUAAAGCGCGCGCAGGCGGACUAGCCAGUCAUUCUUAAAAGUUCGGGGCUUAACCCCGUGAUGGGAUUGAAACUACUAGUCUAGAGUAUCGGAGAGGAAAGUGGAAUUCCUAGUGUAGCGGUGAAAUGCGUAGAUAUUAGGAAGAACACCAGUGGCGAAGGCGACUUUCUGGACGAACACUGACGCUGAGGCGCGAAAGCCAGGGGAGCGAACGGG
Molecule: ribosomal RNA, 429 nt
Filed under: Bacteroidota bacterium
Lineage: Bacteria; Pseudomonadati; Bacteroidota
Description: Bacteroidetes bacterium partial 16S ribosomal RNA
Rfam family: Bacterial small subunit ribosomal RNA
Source: RNAcentral